GUGGCCCAUCGCAGCCGCUUAUGCUAAUACUGCGCAGCUUGUGGGCAACCACCUCCGCCAUGGUUUCUGGAGAGGAAAGCAAAGUCUGUAGGAAAUGCUGGGAGAGCCACACCUGCCUUCUUUUUAGCUUAUUACUCAUCUCUGCCCGCUCACAGGACUUUCACGUUUACUUUAAGGCAACUGGGUCUUUCCUCUUCCAUUUCUGAAGCUCCUCCUGCAUCUUAUCAAUUUUGGCUGGAUUCAGAGCCCACAGACAGCCUUUCCGAGAAGAAUUGCCUGACUUGUUUUCAACUUUCUCAAAGCAUUUGUUCAAAGAUAAGUUGUGGCGUACAGAAUUCUUCCAGCCAUCUGGAGCUGUCUGGAAAAACAAAUCCAAUCUAAGAAUGGAACUUGAAGGAAAGAAAUGUCCAAAAAAGUAUCUCCGUUUUGACUGGCAGUCUCUGAUUAAUGAGGUAAACAAAAUUCCCUCCGUGACUUGUAGUUGAAUGCAACAUCGUCCGCAAGAGUGGAAAGAGGAGAAAACCUAGUGCUGAAAAAACUCACUGCUGUAUAAGUGUAGCAGUAUGUUUCUGCAAAAUGGGAAAUAGCUUUGUCUGUUGUCAUUGUCUAUUCGUAUAUUUUCAAAUGCUUGUUUUCAUUAUUUUUUGUUAGGAUAAUGUUUGAAAAGAAAAGUGAAGGCAUUUCUUCUGACUUUAAUAUUUGAGACUGUUGGUCAUUUUUGUCAGUUGACUUACAAACUGAUAUUUUUAUUUUACAUUUUUUUGGUUGCUUGUAAAAGAACUGCAAAAAUGAAUAUUGCUGAAAAGAUGCAGAAAGUACCCAGCAACACUGUCAUUCUCAGAUAUGGAUGAGAAAUGUCUGUGUUGGUCUAAAAUUCUGAUCUUGAAAAAGUGGCUCUGUAUCCUCUUAUUCCAUAUAGAUUUUGUUGCUAUUUGUUUUAUUUCACUCAUUUCUGCGUACUUAGUCAUGCAGCCAGAAGAUACUGCCCUUCACGUUAAGACUUUGUAAAUCAGUAUCGUCACUGGUAUCAAAAGAUUCCUACAGUAAAUUUCUGAUGUGUCGCUUCUUUGUUCUCCUUUUCAUAGGCACUGUACAAUGCUAUUUGUUGCAUUUCUGAGUAGAAGCUACCUUAGCUCAUUCCCACUUUGAUAUAAUCUUAAAGAAAAUGGAGAGGGGAAGAGUUGCUAUAUUAUGCUAUCAUGGUAGGAAUCAACCUGAGAACCCCAGCUUCAGCGUGAUAGAUGCAACUGUUAGUACAGCAGUUCUUCUUCCCCUGCCAUUAUAAGAUCAAUUAAAAAAAAUAAAUUGUAGCUUUACCUGAGUCAGUCAAAUGAUAUUCUUUCCAAAAGGUCUGCGUUUGCAGAGAUGAAAGAAGAAAUCUCAAGUGAGAAAGACUUUAGAGCUCAUCGGAUUACAAAGAAUGAUCUUCAGUACUAGUGUAUGUGAGGCCUUUUUUCCUUUUUUUAAUCAAUUUUGGAUGCUUUUCCUUUCUUGUUUCCAAAAAAUCCUCAUCUGUCUGUCAUAAGAAUUAAAAGAAAAUGAACAACUCUCUGAAAGGUGUGUAGAGUUGCCUAUGUGCCACUGAUGAUUCAUAUUCAUGAAUGUAAAAUAUUUUUCAUAAUUGUUUAUAUCAACCGUAGAGUAUUAUUGAACAAAGAGCACAAGAAAUAAAUAUGAUUUUCCAUAAUCUUUUUUAAGAAGUUAAAAAAUUAAAAUUUCCCUUUUAUGUGCAUUAAGGUUCCUUUCCAUUCUUAUGUUUUAGUAAUAUGGAUCUUUUUCAUAUAGAAUGUCUACCUUUAGGUAGUUUUUCUAAUUGCUGGUUAGUGUAAAAGAAGGUCUUAGAGGAAGUCUCUUAGACUUGUGCCCAUUUUUGCUUACAUACGAUAUACCAUAAAUUCUGGAAAAUACUUUGAAAGAAAUUCUAUUUUUACCAGUACUCUGAAAUCUGUUCUUUCGUAGCUUGUUGUAAGAGACUAUCCUGUGGGAUAAGGAGUUAACAUCCCAACUGAAUUAGUCAGAUUUAAUG
Molecule: long non-coding RNA, 2026 nt
Organism: Dromaius novaehollandiae (emu)
Lineage: Eukaryota; Metazoa; Chordata; Aves; Casuariiformes; Dromaiidae
Exons: 3
Source: RefSeq, a predicted model, not a curated record